ACCCAUGUCUUUUGAGUACCUUCGUUUCCUCGGCGGGUUCGCCCGCCGAUUGGACAAAACUUAAACCCUUUGUAAUUGAAAUCAGCGUCUGAAAAAAACAUAAUAGUUACAACUUUCAACAACGGAUCUCUUGGUUCUGGCAUCGAUGAAGAACGCAGCGAAAUGCGAUAAGUAGUGUGAAUUGCAGAAUUCAGUGAAUCAUCGAAUCUUUGAACGCACAUUGCGCCCCUUGGUAUUCCAUGGGGCAUGCCUGUUCGAGCGUCAUUUGUACCUUCAAGCUCUGCUUGGUGUUGGGUGUUUGUCUCGCCUCUGCGCGCAGACUCGCCUCAAAACGAUUGGCAGCCGGCGUAUUGAUUUCGGAGCGCAGUACAUCUCGCGCUUUGCACUCACAACGACGACGUCCAAAAAGUACAUUUUUACACUCUUGACCUCGGAUCAGGUAGGGAUACCCGCUGAACUUAAGCAUAUCAAUAA
RNAcentral lists this ribosomal RNA (474 nucleotides) under Stagonosporopsis cucurbitacearum. RNAcentral describes it as "eukaryotic LSU rRNA". The stretch from base 111 to 264 matches the Rfam family "5.8S ribosomal RNA". Lineage: Eukaryota; Fungi; Ascomycota; Dothideomycetes; Pleosporales; Didymellaceae. The record is from RNAcentral.